Halothiobacillus neapolitanus c2 is the source of this 359-nucleotide non-coding RNA. It matches the Rfam family "transfer-messenger RNA". From Rfam's summary of the family: Bacterial tmRNA, also known as 10Sa RNA or SsrA, is named for its dual tRNA and mRNA-like properties. Its role is to liberate the mRNA from a stalled ribosome. The record is from Rfam. NCBI's taxonomy places the organism in Bacteria, Pseudomonadati, Pseudomonadota, Gammaproteobacteria, Chromatiales, Halothiobacillaceae.
GGGGGUGACAUGGCUUCGACGCGGGUCACGAAACUCUAGGUGCAUGUCGAGGGGUAGAGCCUCGUAAAAAUCUGCAAAAAAUUUAGUUGCCAACGACGACAACUACGCACUCGCUGCUUAAUAACCAGUAGGGUGCCGUCUGACUGAAGCCGUGCUUGUGCGUUCAGGUUCCAGGCGUCGACUCUCACAAGAUCGUCAUGAAGCGUGUCCGGCGUGGAUUGGCUAAAACUUAUCCGGAAUCGCUCGUGGUUUUCCCUGCCUGUUGGGUAGCCGCGCGUUAAAAUAAAAAACAGGAAAAACAUGUAGUACCGAAAGCGUAGGACUGGCGGACGGGGGUUCAAUUCCCCCCACCUCCACCA